This 594-nucleotide ribosomal RNA is filed under the name uncultured Dyella sp. RNAcentral's name for it is "bacterial SSU rRNA". It matches the Rfam family "Bacterial small subunit ribosomal RNA", at positions 329 to 915 of the family's 1533-position model. The record is from RNAcentral. Lineage: Bacteria; Pseudomonadati; Pseudomonadota; Gammaproteobacteria; Lysobacterales; Rhodanobacteraceae.
CAGGUCACUCCUACGGGAGGCAGCAGUGGGGAAUAUUGGACAAUGGGCGCAAGCCUGAUCCAGCAAUGCCGCGUGUGUGAAGAAGGCCUUCGGGUUGUAAAGCACUUUUAUCAGGAGCGAAAUACUACUGGCUAAUAACCGGUGGGGCUGACGGUACCUGAGGAAUAAGCACCGGCUAACUUCGUGCCAGCAGCCGCGGUAAUACGAAGGGUGCAAGCGUUAAUCGGAAUUACUGGGCGUAAAGCGUGCGUAGGCGGUGAGUUAAGUCUGUUGUGAAAUCCCCGGGCUCAACCUGGGAAUGGCAAUGGAUACUGGCUCGCUAGAGUGUGAUAGAGGAUGGUGGAAUUCCCGGUGUAGCGGUGAAAUGCGUAGAGAUCGGGAGGAACAUCAGUGGCGAAGGCGGCCAUCUGGAUCAACACUGACGCUGAGGCACGAAAGCGUGGGGAGCAAACAGGAUUAGAUACCCUGGUAGUCCACGCCCUAAACGAUGCGAACUGGAUGUUGGUCUCAACUCGGAGAUCAGUGUCGAAGCUAACGCGUUAAGUUCGCCGCCUGGGGAGUACGGUCGCAAGACUGAAACUCAAAGGAUUGACG